UACGAGAGGCGCAAACGUUAUUCGGAAUUACUGGGCUUAAAGAGUUCGUAGGCGGCGCAGAAAGUAGGGUGUGAAAGCCCUCGGCUUAGCCGAGGAAUUGCGCUCCAAACCGCCUUGCUGGAGUGAGACAGAGGUGAGCGGAACUAAUGGUGGAGCGGUGAAAUGCGUUGAUACCAUUAGGAACACCAGAGGCGAAGGCGGCUCACUGGGUCUCAACUGACGCUGAUGCACGAAAGCUAGGGUAGCGAACGGG
Molecule: ribosomal RNA, 253 nt
Filed under: uncultured bacterium
Lineage: Bacteria
Description: partial 16S ribosomal RNA
Rfam family: Bacterial small subunit ribosomal RNA
Source: RNAcentral